Molecule: transfer RNA, 75 nt
Filed under: Agitococcus sp.
Lineage: Bacteria; Pseudomonadati; Pseudomonadota; Gammaproteobacteria; Moraxellales; Moraxellaceae
Description: tRNA-Val
Rfam family: tRNA
About the family: Transfer RNA (tRNA) molecules are approximately 80 nucleotides in length. Their secondary structure includes four short double-helical elements and three loops (D, anti-codon, and T loops). Further hydrogen bonds mediate the characteristic L-shaped molecular structure. tRNAs have two regions of fundamental functional importance: the anti-codon, which is responsible for specific mRNA codon recognition, and the 3' end, to which the tRNAs corresponding amino acid is attached (by aminoacyl-tRNA synthetases). tRNAs cope with the degeneracy of the genetic code in two manners: having more than one tRNA (with a specific anti-codon) for a particular amino acid; and 'wobble' base-pairing, i.e. permitting non-standard base-pairing at the 3rd anti-codon position.
Source: RNAcentral
GCGCGAUUAGCUCAGAGGCAGAGCGGCGCCCUUACAAGGCGAAGGUCGAGAUUUCAAAAUUCUCAUUGCGCACCA